ACGGAAGGCAGCAGUGAGGAAUAUUGGUCAAUGGGCGGAAGCCUGAACCAGCCAAGUCGCGUGAAGGAUGAAGGUAUUAUGUAUUGUAAACUCCUUUAGUCGCAGGGAAAUAAGGCGGACGAGUCCGCUGAUGCUAGUAUGCGAAGAAUAAGGAUCGGCUAACUCCGUGCCAGCAGCCGCGGUAAUACGGAGGAUCCGAGCGUUAUCCGGAUUUAUUGGGUUUAAAGGGUGCGCAGGCGGCUUUUUAAGUCAGUGGUCAAAUCGUGGGGCUCAACCCCAUCCCGCCAUUGAUACUGGAGAGCUUGAUUGCGGUCGAGGUUGGCGGAAUUCGUCGUGUAGCGGUGAAAUGCAUAGAUAUGACGAAGAACACCGAUUGCGUAGGCAGCUGACCAGGCCGUAAAUGACGCUCAUGCACGAAAGUGCGGGGAUCGAACAGGAUUAGAUACCCUGGUA
RNAcentral lists this ribosomal RNA (453 nucleotides) under uncultured Porphyromonadaceae bacterium. RNAcentral's name for it is "partial 16S ribosomal RNA". It matches the Rfam family "Bacterial small subunit ribosomal RNA", at positions 341 to 792 of the family's 1533-position model. Lineage: Bacteria; Pseudomonadati; Bacteroidota; Bacteroidia; Bacteroidales; Porphyromonadaceae. The record is from RNAcentral.